Molecule: long non-coding RNA, 563 nt
Organism: Triticum aestivum (bread wheat)
Lineage: Eukaryota; Viridiplantae; Streptophyta; Magnoliopsida; Poales; Poaceae
Exons: 4
Source: RefSeq, a predicted model, not a curated record
AAUGUGUGCUCUUCCGAUCUGAAAUGAUACCCUGGGAUGGAUGUAAAGCCAAGCAAAUUGCUUCCGCGCCGAGAACCAAAGAUUGUGUGGGUUGUAAGAGAUGUGAAUCUGCCUGCCCGACAGAUUUUUUAAGUGUCCGCGUUUAUUUAGGGCCUGAAACAACAUGUAGCAUGGCUCUAUCUUAUUCAUACGUUACAAAAAACUUCACUCGAAUCAUCUGAUUCCACUUUACCGAAGAAGCCUGUGCUCGAAAUAAUCGAGCAAGGGCUUUUCUGGUCAAAAUGUAUCUUGUCUUUAUCACUUUAUCAUGAGUUAUUUUCCUUGGUUAACAAUACUUGUUGUUUUGCCGAUAUUUGCAGUUUCAUUAAUUUUCUUUUUACCUCAUAAGGGAAACAAAGUCGUUAGGUGGUAUACUAUAUCUAUUUGUUUAUUAGAAUUCCUUCUAAUGACUUAUGCGUUCUGUUAUCAUUUCCAACUGGAGGAUCCCUUAAUCCAAUUAAAGGAGGAUUAUAAAUGGAUAGAUGUCUUCGAUUUCCACUGGAGAUUGGGAAUCGAUGGACUUU